GUGUCAGCAGCCGCGGUAAUACAGAGGGUGCGAACGUUGCUCGGAAUUACUGGGCGUAAAGCGCGUGUAGGCGGGAUGAUAAGUCGGAAGUGAAAUCCCUGGGCUCAACCCAGGAACUGCUUUCGAAACUGUCGUCCUCGAGUACCGGAGAGGGUGGCGGAAUUCCUGGUGUAGAGGUGAAAUUCGUAGAUAUCAGGAGGAACACCGGUGGCGAAGGCGGCCACCUGGACGGUUACUGACGCUGAGACGCGAAAGCGUGGGGAGCAAACAGGAUUAGAUACCCCCGUAGUCC
This 292-nucleotide ribosomal RNA is filed under the name uncultured bacterium. Its description in RNAcentral is "partial 16S ribosomal RNA". It matches the Rfam family "Bacterial small subunit ribosomal RNA", at positions 505 to 796 of the family's 1533-position model. The record is from RNAcentral.